AGAAGGGGAUGACAGAGGAUGAGAUGGUUGGAUGGUAUCACUGACAUGAUGGAUAUGAGUUUGAGUAAGCGCCUGUAGUUGGUGAUGGAUAGGGAGGCCUGGCGUGGUGCAGUCCAUGGGGUUGCAAAGAGUUGGACCCCAGUGAGUGAGUGAACUGACAUCCUGUAGUUUCCUGCCUCUCUGCUUCCUAAGUUUAGGAGAGGGUGGUGAAAAGACGUGUAGUGUAGUGGUUAACAGUGAGGUCCCAGAAUAAAAGGCCUAGUUUUACAUCCUAACCCUGCCACUUUACAGCUGUGUGAUGUUUGGAAAAUCAUGUAACCUUUAAAGAUUUAACUUUCUUUGUCUAUAAGAGAAUGAAAUCAUUUGACAUAUAUGGAGUGCUUAGAACAAUAUUUGACAUGAGCUGAGCACUGAAUGAUACCAUGUUACUUUUCUUUUUCCUUCAUUUUUAGGCUUAUCAACAACAGAAAUUUAUUUCUCAUAGUUCUGGAGGCUCAGAAGUCCAAGAUCAGGAUACUGACUGAUUUGGUAUCUUGUGCAAAUAAUUUUUGGUAAACUAAAUUCUUUCCAGAAGUACUUAUAAGAGAUCUGGGUAUUUGAAAGAAGUACAGGAAGUGCCUUGAACAGUGAAGAAGACCCUCAAUUUCAAGACACUAAUACAUCCCACUCUUUCAAGAGGCCACUCUUUUGCCAUGUAUCCACACUGUACCAAUUCAACUCAAAUUCAGCUCACAGCCCGUGCAAAUAUUUUGGAUGGCACCCUUGCCUGAAUCACAAUGCCCAUGGGGGCUGGAAUGUUUCUGUAAUUUCCUUUCAGGUUCAAAAGUCUGUGAAGGACUAUUUUAAUGAAAGAUUAAUCUCUUUCAGGAGGCGUGAUUCUAUUUAGAUAUCUUGAGAACAUAGUGAAAAAGACAUCGGACGAUUUUUCUUUAUUCAAAGGAGAGACAGAGAACAGAUAGGGAAGGUAAGGGUGGAGGGAGCCAGAGAGAAUAAGCCUUCAAGCAAGCUGGUGGGCUGGUGAGCCAUGGAAUAGAAAGAAAUGAUCAAAUGGAAACUUCCAUCAUAUCUAAAUGUUUAAAAGAAACAAGAUAUUCAGAGUACCUGAAAAUGUUGGAAAUGUCUACAAAAGCCCCCAGUUUUCGAAAGAAGGUAAAUAAUUAAGGGAUUGAUGAGCUGUCGGCCUUAUUUUUCCAACAACUUAUC
RNAcentral lists this long non-coding RNA (1203 nucleotides) under Capra hircus (goat). RNAcentral describes it as "lncRNA (ENSCHIG00010004569.1)". Lineage: Eukaryota; Metazoa; Chordata; Mammalia; Artiodactyla; Bovidae. The record is from RNAcentral.